Long non-coding RNA from Homo sapiens (human), 312 nucleotides. RefSeq lists it as uncharacterized. The record is from RefSeq and is a predicted model, not a curated record. NCBI's taxonomy places the organism in Eukaryota, Metazoa, Chordata, Mammalia, Primates, Hominidae. The transcript has 3 exons.
CUUUGCUGAGAAUAAUAGCUGUCAAUCAAUUAUGUGCAAGAAGGACACCGCUGUGAUCACCUACUGUUGAUAGGCAGCCUGGAGAAAGUCAUGCCAACAAGCCAGAACUUAGCAUUCCUUUCUGUUAACCCCAAGUUUUUAGAUGAAACUUCACUUCCUUCACCAAUCGCAAAUCGGAGGAUUUUUGAAUCCACCUAUUAUCUGAGAAAGAAUAAAAGUAAAUGACUCAUUAGGACAAGGAAUGCAUGCAGCAAAAAAACAACUAAUGCGGCUGAGCUCCACUAGGAAUAGAAUCCCAGGAGACCUGGCAAG